Molecule: long non-coding RNA, 1224 nt
Filed under: Calidris pygmaea (Spoon-billed sandpiper)
Lineage: Eukaryota; Metazoa; Chordata; Aves; Charadriiformes; Scolopacidae
Description: lncRNA (ENSCPGG00000004411.1)
Source: RNAcentral
AUGUCCCCCCAAGUGCCACCACGUCCCCUUGGGUGCCACCAACUGCCACCACAUCCACGUCCCACCAUCUCCCACCAUCUUCCAUUGUGUCCCACCAUGUUCCCCCCGAGUGCCACCACGUCCCGUGUCCCACCGGGUGCCACCAAGUGUCACCAUGUCCUCUUAGGUGCCACCACGUCCCCUUGGGUGCCACCAACUGCCCCCACAUCCCAUCUCCCACUGUGUCCCAUCACCUCCCACUGGGUGCCACCAUCUCCCACCAAGUCCCAUUGGGUCCCACCACGCCCCCUGUUCCACCACAUGCCACCGGGUGCCACCAAGUGUCACCACGUCCCCUUGGGUGCCACCAUCUCCCACCACAUCCCAUUGGGUGCCACCAUCUCCCACCAUCUCCCAUUGUGUCCCACCACCUGCUAUUGGGUGCCACCAUGUCCUGUGUCCCCUCAAGUGCCACCACGUCCCAUUGGGUGCCACCAACUGCCACCACAUCCCAUCUCCCACCAUCUCCCAUCGUGUCCCACCACCUCCCACUUGGUGCCACCAUCUCCCACCAAGUCCCAUUGGGUCCCACCACAUCCUGUGUCCCACCACGUGCCACCGGGUGCCACCAAGUGCCACCACAUCCCAUUGGGUGCCACCAACUGCCACCAAAUCCCAUGUUCCACCAUCUCCCAUUGUGUCCCACCACCUCCCCCUGGGUGCCACCAUCUCCCACCAAGUCCCAUUGGGUCCCACCAUGUCCCGUGUCCCACCACGUGCCACCGGGUGCCACCAAGUCUCACCACGUCCCCUUGGGUGCCACCACAUCCCACUGGGUGCCACCAUCUCCCACCACAUCCCAUCUCCCACCAUGUGCCACCAUCUCCCACUGGGUGCCACCGUGUCCCACCAGGUGCCACCAAGUGCCACCACGUCCCCUUGGGUGCCACCAUCUCCCACCAUCUCCCAUUGUGUCCCACCACCUGCUAUUGGGUGCCACCAUGUCCUGUGUCCCCUCAAGUGCCACCACGUCCCCUUGGGUGCCACCAACUGCCACCACAUCUCAUCUCCCACCACCUCCCACUGGGUGCCACCAUCUCCCACUGUGUCCCAUUGGGUCCCACCACAUCCCGGGUCCCACCACGUCCUAUCGGGUGCCACCAAGUGCCACCACGUCCCCCUCUUUCUGUCCCCAGACGACUUCCGCAUCUUCUGCGGGGACCUGGGGAACGAGGUGAACGAUGA